Molecule: ribosomal RNA, 398 nt
Filed under: uncultured bacterium
Lineage: Bacteria
Description: partial 16S ribosomal RNA
Rfam family: Bacterial small subunit ribosomal RNA
Source: RNAcentral
UAUUGCACAAUGGGCGCAAGCCUGAUGCAGCAACGCCGCGUGCGCGACGAAGGCCUUCNGGUCGUNANGCGCUUUUCGGGGAGAUNCGCACGGACAGUAUCCCCGGAAGAAGGAUCGGCUAACUACGUGCCAGCAGCCGCGGUAAUACGUAGGUGGCGAGCGUUAUCCGGAAUUACUGGGUGUAAAGGGUGUGUAGGCGGGAUCGCAAGUCAGAGGUGAAACCCGUGGGCUCAACCCACGGCCUGCCAUUGAAACUGCGGUUCUUGAGAAUGGGAGAGGUAAACGGAAUUCCCGGUGUAGCGGUGAAAUGCGUAGAUAUCGGGAGGAACAUCGGUGGCGAAGGCGGUUUACUGGACCAUAACUGACGCUGAGACACGAAAGCGUGGGGAGCAAACAGG